RNAcentral lists this ribosomal RNA (2614 nucleotides) under Escherichia coli. Its description in RNAcentral is "partial 23S ribosomal RNA". It matches the Rfam family "Bacterial large subunit ribosomal RNA", at positions 319 to 2915 of the family's 2925-position model. The record is from RNAcentral. Lineage: Bacteria; Pseudomonadati; Pseudomonadota; Gammaproteobacteria; Enterobacterales; Enterobacteriaceae.
AGUGUGUGUGUUAGUGGAAGCGUCUGGAAAGGCGCGCGAUACAGGGUGACAGCCCCGUACACAAAAAUGCACAUAUUGUGAGCUCGAUGAGUAGGGCGGGACACGUGGUAUCCUGUCUGAAUAUGGGGGGACCAUCCUCCAAGGCUAAAUACUCCUGACUGACCGAUAGUGAACCAGUACCGUGAGGGAAAGGCGAAAAGAACCCCGGCGAGGGGAGUGAAAAAGAACCUGAAACCGUGUACGUACAAGCAGUGGGAGCCUCUUUAUGGGGUGACUGCGUACCUUUUGUAUAAUGGGUCAGCGACUUAUAUUCUGUAGCAAGGUUAACCGAAUAGGGGAGCCGAAGGGAAACCGAGUCUUAACUGGGCGUUAAGUUGCAGGGUAUAGACCCGAAACCCGGUGAUCUAGCCAUGGGCAGGUUGAAGGUUGGGUAACACUAACUGGAGGACCGAACCGACUAAUGUUGAAAAAUUAGCGGAUGACUUGUGGCUGGGGGUGAAAGGCCAAUCAAACCGGGAGAUAGCUGGUUCUCCCCGAAAGCUAUUUAGGUAGCGCCUCGUGAAUUCAUCUCCGGGGGUAGAGCACUGUUUCGGCAAGGGGGUCAUCCCGACUUACCAACCCGAUGCAAACUGCGAAUACCGGAGAAUGUUAUCACGGGAGACACACGGCGGGUGCUAACGUCCGUCGUGAAGAGGGAAACAACCCAGACCGCCAGCUAAGGUCCCAAAGUCAUGGUUAAGUGGGAAACGAUGUGGGAAGGCCCAGACAGCCAGGAUGUUGGCUUAGAAGCAGCCAUCAUUUAAAGAAAGCGUAAUAGCUCACUGGUCGAGUCGGCCUGCGCGGAAGAUGUAACGGGGCUAAACCAUGCACCGAAGCUGCGGCAGCGACACUAUGUGUUGUUGGGUAGGGGAGCGUUCUGUAAGCCUGUGAAGGUGGCCUGUGAGGGUUGCUGGAGGUAUCAGAAGUGCGAAUGCUGACAUAAGUAACGAUAAAGCGGGUGAAAAGCCCGCUCGCCGGAAGACCAAGGGUUCCUGUCCAACGUUAAUCGGGGCAGGGUGAGUCGACCCCUAAGGCGAGGCCGAAAGGCGUAGUCGAUGGGAAACAGGUUAAUAUUCCUGUACUUGGUGUUACUGCGAAGGGGGGACGGAGAAGGCUAUGUUGGCCGGGCGACGGUUGUCCCGGUUUAAGCGUGUAGGCUGGUUUUCCAGGCAAAUCCGGAAAACCAAGGCUGAGGCGUGAUGACGAGGCACUACGGUGCUGAAGCGACAAAUGCCCUGCUUCCAGGAAAAGCCUCUAAGCAUCAGGUAACAUCAAAUCGUACCCCAAACCGACACAGGUGGUCAGGUAGAGAAUACCAAGGCGCUUGAGAGAACUCGGGUGAAGGAACUAGGCAAAAUGGUGCCGUAACUUCGGGAGAAGGCACGCUGAUAUGUAGGUGAAGCGACUUGCUCGUGGAGCUGAAAUCAGUCGAAGAUACCAGCUGGCUGCAACUGUUUAUUAAAAACACAGCACUGUGCAAACACGAAAGUGGACGUAUACGGUGUGACGCCUGCCCGGUGCCGGAAGGUUAAUUGAUGGGGUUAGCGGUAACGCGAAGCUCUUGAUCGAAGCCCCGGUAAACGGCGGCCGUAACUAUAACGGUCCUAAGGUAGCGAAAUUCCUUGUCGGGUAAGUUCCGACCUGCACGAAUGGCGUAAUGAUGGCCAGGCUGUCUCCACCCGAGACUCAGUGAAAUUGAACUCGCUGUGAAGAUGCAGUGUACCCGCGGCAAGACGGAAAGACCCCGUGAACCUUUACUAUAGCUUGACACUGAACAUUGAGCCUUGAUGUGUAGGAUAGGUGGGAGGCUUUGAAGUGUGGACGCCAGUCUGCAUGGAGCCGACCUUGAAAUACCACCCUUUAAUGUUUGAUGUUCUAACGUUGGCCCGUAAUCCGGGUUGCGGACAGUGUCUGGUGGGUAGUUUGACUGGGGCGGUCUCCUCCUAAAGAGUAACGGAGGAGCACGAAGGUUGGCUAAUCCUGGUCGGACAUCAGGAGGUUAGUGCAAUGGCAUAAGCCAGCUUGACUGCGAGCGUGACGGCGCGAGCAGGUGCGAAAGCAGGUCAUAGUGAUCCGGUGGUUCUGAAUGGAAGGGCCAUCGCUCAACGGAUAAAAGGUACUCCGGGGAUAACAGGCUGAUACCGCCCAAGAGUUCAUAUCGACGGCGGUGUUUGGCACCUCGAUGUCGGCUCAUCACAUCCUGGGGCUGAAGUAGGUCCCAAGGGUAUGGCUGUUCGCCAUUUAAAGUGGUACGCGAGCUGGGUUUAGAACGUCGUGAGACAGUUCGGUCCCUAUCUGCCGUGGGCGCUGGAGAACUGAGGGGGGCUGCUCCUAGUACGAGAGGACCGGAGUGGACGCAUCACUGGUGUUCGGGUUGUCAUGCCAAUGGCACUGCCCGGUAGCUAAAUGCGGAAGAGAUAAGUGCUGAAAGCAUCUAAGCACGAAACUUGCCCCGAGAUGAGUUCUCCCUGACUCCUUGAGAGUCCUGAAGGAACGUUGAAGACGACGACGUUGAUAGGCCGGGUGUGUAAGCGCAGCGAUGCGUUGAGCUAACCGGUACUAAUGAACCGUGAGG